This is an unclassified non-coding RNA of Macaca fascicularis (crab-eating macaque), 300 nucleotides long. It matches the Rfam family "Metazoan signal recognition particle RNA". From Rfam's summary of the family: The signal recognition particle (SRP) is a universally conserved ribonucleoprotein. NCBI's taxonomy places the organism in Eukaryota, Metazoa, Chordata, Mammalia, Primates, Cercopithecidae. The record is from Ensembl.
GCCUGGUGUGGUGGCCCACACCUGCAUUCUCAGCUACUGGAGAGGCUGAUGCGGGAGGAUCAUUUCAGCCCAGGGCUUCUGGGCUGUAGAACACUAUACUGAUCCAGGUGCCCACACUAUGCUUGGCGUCAAAAUAGGAGGGUCUCCUGGGGAGCGGGGGACAACUGAGUUACCUGAGGAGGGGUGAACCAGCCAGGCCGGAGAUGGGUCAGGUCACUACUGUGCUGCUCAGUAGUGGGACUGCACUUGCCAAUAGUCACUGCACUCCAACCUGGGAGACGUAGCCAGACCCUGUCUUUU